UUGAACGCUGGCGGAAUGCUUUACACAUGCAAGUCGAACGGUAGAGGGGGNAACCCUUGAGAGUGGCGAACGGGUGAGUAAUAUAUCGGAACGUGCCCAGUCGUGGGGGAUAACGUAGCGAAAGCUACGCUAAUACCGCAUACGAUCUAUGGAUGAAAGCGGGGGGAUCGCAAGACCUCGCGCGAUUGGAGCGGCCGAUAUCAGAUUAGGUAGUUGGUGAGGUAAAGGCUCACCAAGCCGACGAUCUGUAGCUGGUCUGAGAGGACGACCAGCCACACUGGGACUGAGACACGGCCCAGACUCCUACGGGAGGCAGCAGUGAGGAAUAUUGGACAAUGGGCGCAAGCCUGAUCCAGCCAUGCCGCGUGCAGGAUGACGGUCCUAUGGAUUGUAAACUGCUUUAUACAGGAAGAAACACUCCGACGUGUCGGAGCUUGACGGUACUGUAAGAAUAAGGAUCGGCUAACUCCGUG
Molecule: ribosomal RNA, 473 nt
Filed under: uncultured bacterium
Lineage: Bacteria
Description: bacterial SSU rRNA
Rfam family: Bacterial small subunit ribosomal RNA
Source: RNAcentral